This 4458-nucleotide unclassified non-coding RNA is filed under the name Hevea brasiliensis (rubber tree). The record is from RNAcentral. Lineage: Eukaryota; Viridiplantae; Streptophyta; Magnoliopsida; Malpighiales; Euphorbiaceae.
AAUGCACUAAUUAAGGGAUUCCAGCAUUUUGUUAUGUGUUUUUGGUCUUAUCUGGGCAAAUCUUAAUUUGUGGUCUUAUCUACCCAAAUCUUAAUUACUACAAGUGCUAUUUUCAUUACAAUUUGCAGGAACUUUGUAAAGAUUUCCAUGUUUUCAAGAAUUAUUAGAUUCUCUGUAAUAUCAAAAUGUCAAGACUUUCAGAUGGACUUUUUGUAAGCAGCAGUUUUGAUGAGUUGCAUGUUUGGUCUUCAUUUUCUUGACAUUAGUGUUCUAUUUGCAACAUGCUAAGGCCUUGAUUCCCAGCACUACCUAGUUUGAGUACUUGAGAAUUUAAAACUCAUAAACUGUUUUUUGCUGCCAUAACAUUCACAGAAAUUCUUGCCCCCAAAGCUUAUUAGUUACAUUAUGAAUAAGGCUGAAUUUGUGGUUUUCCCCAAUUUUUGUCCAACAAGGCAGUGUUUCACUGUUUCAAAUUCAAAAAUUCCAGAUCCUUCUGAUUGACCUUACGAAAUUUCACAUUUUUUUUGUCCUCCUAUGUCAUUUAGUUUUGUAAUGUUUUAGUAGGUGAUCGAAUCAAUAUAUUAAAAAUGAAAGUUCCUUCCAUAAAGUAAUCUUUCUGCAGUUGCAUCUGGAAGUAUCAACAAAGUAUUGACAGACUGUCAUGCAUUUUUCCUGUGGUUUGUUGGAGGGGCAAUCCUGUGUGAAGGUGCAAUGGAGUUUGCACCUUUCUGAACUUGAGCAAACCUUGGUGAAUAGGUUUAAAUGUUGAAAACAUCUGGUCAUAUUAAAUAUUUUGACUCCUCUAAGACUCUUUUUAAUGGAGAUGGGCAGAUUACUUGUGACAACAAAUCCAACCCCGUAUAAGAACUGUUGUCUAUCGUUACCGAGAAAUAAGUUCCAUAUUUCAAUAGUAAAAUAUCUGGGUGUCCUCUUUCAUUUGGAGCAUUGAAGAGCCUUACAAAGUUGGGACGGCAACUAGGCAAGACUGCCUUUGCAGAAAACCCACUUAUAAUUCUUGCUAAGAAUUAUCUACAUUUGCAAAGAAGCAGUUUCUUUGGUUUGCGUUUUCAAUGAUUAAUAGAUUGUAAGUUGAUUUAAUGCGUCUCUGAUAUGAAAUCUUUGAGUGCCUAAUCUCUUUGUUAUCCUGAAUAUCUCUUACUUCACUGGCAUUGAACUCCUUGUUCAACUCAUUCUCAUUUAGAUUUUUUUAUAUAAAUUUACAUGAAACUUUGUUACAAAAUAUUGAUUUUAUAUAAAUUUUCAUCUUUAUUUUGUCGGCCAUUUGCUAAAAUUAUUUGUUUUGUCCAUAUAUCCUUCCCUUUUUCCGCAUUCGGAGAAUUAUAUUUGGUAUUCCCAUCUUUUUGUAUUUGAUUCUGCUUUUCUGGAUUUAACAUUAGCUUAAACUCUGAAAUACAUCACUGUUUCAUCUAUUCAUCCAUAAAUCAGUAUCAGUUGAUCUGAAAAAGUGGGAGUUCCAGUCCUUCAUAUUUUACAUACAUUUUUUUGCUUUACUGUUACACCUUACUGUGGGUUCAAGGGUGUAACAACUAAAAUUGUGUUUCAGAAUAAUUUGAUAAAAAAAGAUUUAAUGAACAUACCUAUGUAAAAUUGUCAAGAUGGUUUAGAUAGAAUCUUAUUGUGAAUGUCCAAUAUACUUAUUGGAUUGUUUUUGUAACAUAAAUAUAGAGAACAGAAGCUCUAGAAAAAUCACUGAAAGAAAAUACCAUAUGGAAGAAGCUAAUAAAAAGAGGAGUUCAUACACUGAAGAAGCCUCAAUACCAGUUAUGUUACAUUGAUCCUGGAGUGGCAAGUGGGGAUGAGAUGGAGAAGCUCAAGACAAUGGAUAGUGCCUUUAUUGAAUUCUAGAAGAAAAAUUUGAAGCUCUGCGCUUCCUUUUCCUUCGUUUCAUAAUGUAUUUUAACCUCAUUCCUUUUCUUUUGAUGCUGAAAAUGAGUGCAUACCCAUUUGCUAAACCAUUAAAGAGAAAUGGUACUGUAGCCUGUAAUGUGCAUCUUAUUGUUUGUAUUUCUUAAAGCUAACUCAAGUUCUGAAGCUGGUAUAACCUAGAAUAUAUGCCUUCAGCCUCUGCUAUUAGGGUUGAGUGAGAACCCAUCUCGACAAUCUGACCUUUAUCCAUGACAACUAUCAUAUCCGAGUUUUUUACUGUGGAAAGCCUGUGAGCAACCGUAAUCUGUGUUGUUUUGUACAAGGAGCUCUCGUAGCUGUUCAUAUUUAUUGAUUCUAGGGCGCUUACUACAGAUCUUUCAGACUCAGCAUCUAGGGCACUUGUUGCUUCAUCCAGGAGCAAGAUUGCUGGCUUCUUCAAUAGAGUCCUAGCGAUCGCUAUGCGUUGCUUCUGUCCACCUGAAAGUUGGCAGCCCUUCUCUCCAACAAUUGUAUUAUAUCCAUCAGGCAAAUUACUUAUAAACUCGUGAAUGUUUGCUUCCCUCGAUACCUUAACAAUUUCUGCUUCAGAAGCCCCCUCACUCCCAUAGGCAAUGUUGUCUCCAAUUGAAGAACUAAAAAGAAGUGGCUCUUGUUGCACCAACCCAAUUUGUCCCCUCAACAUUUUCAGAUUAUAUUCUUUGAUGUUCUUUCCAUCAACUAGCACCCUUCCUGCUCUGGGAUCGUAGAAUCUAAGCAAAAGUGCCAAGACUGAGGAUUUUCCAGCUCCGCUUGGUCCGACAAAGGCUACCUUUAAUCCAGCUUCAAUUUGUAAACUGAAGUUGUUGAGAACAGUUACAUCUGGCCUUAGUGGGUAGUUAAAUUUAACAUUCUGAAAUUCUACUCUACCCAUUAUCCUGUCAAGGUGUGAACAUUUGGGUGAAUCUGGUUCAAUUUCAGUUUCUCUGUCGAGGGUUUCAAAUGCUGGAGUUAAUACGCUGAUGGCAGAAAUGACAGUGGGGAUCAAUGUCCAUAACUCUGUGAUUGAAGGUACUGUGAGAGAGAAAAUCUGGUACGAUCUUAUGCCAUCUUCGAAGCUUGCUUGAUGUGCUGCGACUAAAUGUGUAGUGUACCACAGAGCAACAGCAUGUGCAAUAUUCCAUAAACAAAGGGAGACACCUUGAAUGAGUCCAUACUUAAUGCUCGUUCUCCUGCUCUUCUUCAUUGGUUUUUCCAGGGAUGUUUUGGCUUUCCUAAGAAUGUGCUCUUCAUGGCAAAAAGAUGUUAUGGUUCUUAUAUUGGCUGCAGACUCAGAAGCAAGUGUAACAAUUUGGUAAUGUGCUGCAGCAGAAUCACCUGAAAAUCCUUUGGCAGACUUGGCUUGAAUCAGUCCACCUAUGAAAUGGCAAGGCAUGACUGCCCAAGCUACCAAACCCAUUCUCCAGUUAACAACCAUGCUAACAAUAGUUGCAAUUAGUAUGGAGGAAACGCAUUGGACAAUGACAGACAUGCGGUCUGCAAUUAUCAUUUUGACCAUGGAGGUGUCAUGAAUGAUCCGUGAGGUAAGUGAACCAACACUGUUCUCAGGUUUCUCAAACCAUGCUAGUUCAUUGCGCAGUAUCCCUGCAAAAAUAGGUGUUAGUGUGCACCCUCCUAGGUUGAUCAUUCACUUGAAUGAAAGUUCAUGCAUUUCAUGGUUUAAAGGACACAAGAAUUCGUAUCCCAAAAAGAAAACAUUAGGCCAUGAUCCGUAAAUUGAUGGGAAUAAUAGGAGCAAUUGAUACCUGAAUAUAAUGCUUGUCUGAGGUUUGUCAUGGCCUUCUCUCCAACCACUCCAAAGAAGUAAUGCUGCAAGGUGUGAGUGAACAAUGACAGCAGUCCUAUUAGAGCAAAGAUGAUGGAAUACCAUCCAACUUUCCUUUUUGCAUCUUUAUGGUAGUAUGCUACUCCUACAGUUAUAAUGAAGAAUCCAAAAACAGGCUUUGAGAUGCCAGAGAAAGCAGCUGCAAAGGAUCCUAUAGCAGUUUUUAAAAUUUCUUUCUUUUGCAAGCCAAACCAUAUUCUGAAAAAUAUAGCUGACUUUGUUCUGUCUUUCUGUUCCUCUUGCUUUGGAGACUGGCUCAGAUGGAUGCUGAAAUCAUUAAGUUUAUCUUGGUGUUCAUUUUCUUUUAGUGCAACUUGUUGCUUGGUAUUCGCUUGUUCUUCAGUAGCUGCAUUUCUGUUAUUCAAUAAAGUUGGAUCAGUUAAAAGUUUUUCGUUUAUUGGAUAUUAUGCUGAAGAAAUCGGGUAUUUAAGUGUAUAUGAACCUUGAAUCACCAACUGUGCUGAGGUUCUGCAUGCUAAAUAAGUUGCUAUAAAAUUUGCUGGUAUCUAGCAAGCUGCUGUGUGUUCCCGUCUCUGUUACUUGUCCAUUCUCCACAACUACUAUCAUAUCUGCAUUAACAAUAGUUGACAGCCUGUGUGCAAUCAAGAUGACCGUCCUCCCUUGCAUAGCCCUAUCGAGGGCGUCCUGAACCAGCUUCUCUGAUUCUGAAUCUAGUGCACUUGUAGCCUCAUCAAGCAAAAGAAUUGGUG